This 492-nucleotide ribosomal RNA is filed under the name uncultured bacterium. RNAcentral's name for it is "partial 16S ribosomal RNA". It matches the Rfam family "Bacterial small subunit ribosomal RNA", at positions 29 to 507 of the family's 1533-position model. The record is from RNAcentral.
AGUGAACGCUGGCGGUAGGCCUAACACAUGCAAGUCGAACGGCAGCACAGUAAGAGCUUGCUCUUACGGGUGGCGAGUGGCGGACGGGUGAGGAAUACAUCGGAAUCUACUUUUUCGUGGGGGAUAACGUAGGGAAACUUACGCUAAUACCGCAUACGACCUACGGGUGGAAGCAGGGGAUCUUCGGACCUUGCGCGAUUGAAUGAGCCGAUGUCGGAUUAGCUAGUUGGCGGGGUAAAGGCCCACCAAGGCGACGAUCCGUAGCUGGUCUGAGAGGAUGAUCAGCCACACUGGAACUGAGACACGGUCCAGACUCCUACGGGAGGCAGCAGUGGGGAAUAUUGGACAAUGGGCGCAAGCCUGAUCCAGCCAUACCGCGUGGGUGAAGAAGGCCUUCGGGUUGUAAAGCCCUUUUGUUGGGAAAGAAAAGCAGCAGGUUAAUACCCCGCUGUUCUGACGGUAGCCAAAGAAUAAGCACCGGCUAACUUCGUG